UAAUGCCUAGGAAAUUGCCCUGAUGUGGGGGAUAACCAUUGGAAACGAUGGCUAAUACCGCAUGAUGCCUACGGGCCAAAGAGGGGGACCUUCGGGCCUCUCGCGUCAGGAUAUGCCUAGGUGGGAUUAGCUAGUUGGUGAGGUAAGGGCUCACCAAGGCGACGAUCCCUAGCUGGUCUGAGAGGAUGAUCAGCCACACUGGAACUGAGACACGGUCCAGACUCCUACGGGAGGCAGCAGUGGGGAAUAUUGCACAAUGGGCGCAAGCCUGAUGCAGCCAUGCCGCGUGUGUGAAGAAGGCCUUCGGGUUGUAAAGCACUUUCAGUCGUGAGGAAGGUAGUGUAGUUAAUAGCUGCAUUAUUUGACGUUAGCGACAGAAGAAGCACCGGCUAACUCCGUGCCAGCAGCCGCGGUAAUACGGAGGGUGCGAGCGUUAAUCGGAAUUACUGGGCGUAAAGCGCAUGCAGGUGGUUUGUUAAGUCAGAUGUGAAAGCCCGGGGCUCAACCUCGGAAUUGCAUUUGAAACUGGCAGACUAGAGUACUGUAGAGGGGGGUAGAAUUUCAGGUGUAGCGGUGAAAUGCGUAGAGAUCUGAAGGAAUACCGGUGGCGAAGGCGGCCCCCUGGACAGAUACUGACACUCAGAUGCGAAAGCGUGGGGAGCAAACAGGAUUAGAUACCCUGGUAGUCCACGCCGUAAACGAUGUCUACUUGGAGGUUGUGGCCUUGAGCCGUGGCUUUCGGAGCUAACGCGUUAAGUAGACCGCCUGGGGAGUACGGUCGCAAGAUUAAAACUCAAAUGAAUUGACGGGGGCCCGCACAAGCGGUGGAGCAUGUGGUUUAAUUCGAUGCAACGCGAAGAACCUUACCUACUCUUGACAUCCAGAGAACUUUCCAGAGAUGGAUUGGUGCCUUCGGGAACUCUGAGACAGGUGCUGCAUGGCUGUCGUCAGCUCGUGUUGUGAAAUGUUGGGUUAAGUCCCGCAACGAGCGCAACCCUUAUCCUUGUUUGCCAGCGAGUAAUGUCGGGAACUCCAGGGAGACUGCCGGUGAUAAACCGGAGGAAGGUGGGGACGACGUCAAGUCAUCAUGGCCCUUACGAGUAGGGCUACACACGUGCUACAAUGGCGCAUACAGAGGGCGGCCAACUUGCGAAAGUGAGCGAAUCCCAAAAAGUGCGUCGUAGUCCGGAUUGGAGUCUGCAACUCGACUCCAUGAAGUCGGAAUCGCUAGUAAUCGUGGAUCAGA
RNAcentral lists this ribosomal RNA (1246 nucleotides) under Vibrio sp. SO13. Its description in RNAcentral is "bacterial SSU rRNA". It matches the Rfam family "Bacterial small subunit ribosomal RNA", at positions 111 to 1353 of the family's 1533-position model. The record is from RNAcentral. Lineage: Bacteria; Pseudomonadati; Pseudomonadota; Gammaproteobacteria; Vibrionales; Vibrionaceae.